CAGUCGAGCGGACUUGAUGAGAAGCUUGCUUCUCUGAUGGUUAGCGGCGGACGGGUGAGUAACACGUAGGCAACCUGCCCUCAAGCUUGGGACAACUACCGGAAACGGUAGCUAAUACCGAAUACUUGUUUUCUUCGCCUGAAGGGAACUGGAAAGACGGAGCAAUCUGUCACUUGAGGAUGGGCCUGCGGCGCAUUAGCUAGUUGGUGAGGUAACGGCUCACCAAGGCGACGAUGCGUAGCCGACCUGAGAGGGUGAUCGGCCACACUGGGACUGAGACACGGCCCAGACUCCUACGGGAGGCAGCAGUAGGGAAUCUUCCGCAAUGGGCGAAAGCCUGACGGAGCAAUGCCGCGUGAGUGAUGAAGGUUUUCGGAUCGUAAAGCUCUGUUGCCAGGGAAGAACGCUCAGGAGAGUAACUGCUCCUGAGGUGACGGUACCUGAGAAGAAAGCCCCGGCUAACUACGUGCCAGCAGCCGCGGUAAUACGUAGGGGGCAAGCGUUGUCCGGAAUUAUUGGGCGUAAAGCGCGCGCAGGCGGUCAUUUAAGUCUGGUGUUUAAUCCCGGGGCUCAACCCCGGAUCGCACUGGAAACUGGGUGACUUGAGUGCAGAAGAGGAGAGUGGAAUUCCACGUGUAGCGGUGAAAUGCGUAGAGAUGUGGAGGAACACCAGUGGCGAAGGCGACUCUCUGGGCUGUAACUGACGCUGAGGCGCGAAAGCGUGGGGGAGCAAACAGGAUUAGAUACCCUGGUAGUCCACG
Molecule: ribosomal RNA, 761 nt
Filed under: Paenibacillus dongdonensis
Lineage: Bacteria; Bacillati; Bacillota; Bacilli; Caryophanales; Paenibacillaceae
Description: bacterial SSU rRNA
Rfam family: Bacterial small subunit ribosomal RNA
Source: RNAcentral